UAGUACGGCGAGUGAGCGGCAACAGCUCAAAUUUGAAAUCUGGCUUUCGGGCCCGAGUUGUAAUUUGUAGAGGAUGAUUUUGAUGCGGUGCCUUCCGAGUUCCCUGGAACGGGACGCCAUAGAGGGUGAGAGCCCCGUCUGGUUGGAUGCCAAAUCUCUGUAAAUCUCCUUCGACGAGUCGAGUAGUUUGGGAAUGCUGCUCUAAAUGGGAGGUAUAUGUCUUCUAAAGCUAAAUACCGGCCAGAGACCGAUAGCGCACAAGUAGAGUGAUCGAAAGAUGAAAAGCACUUUGAAAAGAGAGUUAAAAAGUACGUGAAAUUGUUGAAAGGGAAGCGUUUAUGACCAGACUUGGGCUUGGUUAAUCAUCUGGGGUUCUCUCCAGUGCACUUUUCCAGUCCAGGCCAGCAUCAGUUUUCGCCGGGGGAUAAAGGCUUCGGGAAUGUGGCUCCCCUCGGGGAGUGUUAUAGCCCGUUGUGUAAUACCCUGGUGGGGACUGAGGUUCGCGCUUCUGCAAGGAUGCUGGCGUAAUGGUCAUCAACGACCCGUCUUGAACCCACGGGACC
This 563-nucleotide ribosomal RNA is filed under the name Fusarium graminearum. RNAcentral's name for it is "partial large subunit ribosomal RNA". It matches the Rfam family "Eukaryotic large subunit ribosomal RNA", at positions 81 to 664 of the family's 3401-position model. Lineage: Eukaryota; Fungi; Ascomycota; Sordariomycetes; Hypocreales; Nectriaceae. The record is from RNAcentral.